CUACGGGUCGCUCCAGUCGCGAAAACUUUACAAUGCGGGAAACCGUGAUAAGGGAAUCCUCAGUGCUCAUGGUUUCCAUGGGCUUUUGUCAAGAGUAAACAUCUUGGCGAAUAAGGGGUGGGAAAGACCGGUGCCAGCAGCCGCGGUAACCCCGGCGCCCCGAGUGGGACUCAUUUUUAUUUGGCCUAAAGCGCCCGUAGCCGGUUUGGCAAAUCUUCUGUGAAACUGUUCGGCUCAACCGAACAGCGCGCAGGAGACACUACCAGACUUGGAACCAGGAGGCGUAGAGAGUAUUCCAGGGGGAGCGGUAAAAUGUUAUAAUCCCUGGAGGACUACCAAUGGCGAAGGCACUCUACAAGAAUGGAUUCGACGGUGAGGGACGAAAGCCAGGGGAGCGAUCCGGAUUAGAUACCCGAGUAGUC
This 422-nucleotide ribosomal RNA is filed under the name uncultured archaeon. RNAcentral describes it as "partial 16S ribosomal RNA". It matches the Rfam family "Archaeal small subunit ribosomal RNA", at positions 323 to 746 of the family's 1478-position model. The record is from RNAcentral.